AAUAACUUGGCCACGACUUUGUUACGUAGUUGAUUUGGAAAGCCGAUUGCUGAGAACAGCAGGGAAAGCCAGAACCUUGGAAACUGCUUUUCAGUGAGGACCUCCUAGGGCACACUCGGAAUGGGGUCUGGGCCACCUGCACAUGCACGGGCUCCUGCAGCCUUUGGGGGCAGCUGUGUGGGGUGAAAAUUCCCCUUCCACCCUGUAAAGACACAGUGGGAAGUGAGGACUGGGAGUAUGAAACAGCUUCAGCUUUCUUGACUAUAUUAUGAAGCCAGCUAAGAACAGGAAAUAAUCACAUGGGCUUUAAGCAGAUUAGUGCUUUACUGAAGCUAGUGUAUACAGAAACUGGUCUAAAGAAUCACAAACAAAUAUAAAACAGAGAGAGAGAUGUUGAGAGAGUGAGAAGACAAGGUAGCGUCUUCAAGAACAGACAGCCUAUGGAGUGCUUCAGGGAGCUGUGGUCAUCUAGGAGUAGACUGUGCUGGCUCUUUCUGGAUGUCUACCUUGAGCUGUUUUUUCCUUCUCCUUAGCCUUUGCUUCUCUGAGGUCCCCAGUGGCCUAGAUGUGGCAGCAGUGAUUGAAUGGUUAAAACAUCAGAGUACACAGAAUUGUCUGGAGCUGCGAAAGUGUCAAGCUUGGAGAUUCAGACAAAUGCUGAGAGCAGUGAAGAGUGUACAGAACUUUCCCCAGGAAACCUUUGGGUGAUGCACACAGAGUGAACCCGGAAUCUCUCAGCAACCUGGGAGACUAAAGAAGGAGGCCUGAACACAAAGAUCUGUUUCAGCCUUGGAAAUCCUCCAACACAGUUCCAGGAUAAUUCUUCUAAGUCUCUCAUCUUGUACCAGCUCUGGGCUAACAAGCCUCCACAGCCUCCAUGAGCGUACAGGUUCCCAUUUUCCCAGGUUGCUGGUCACCAAGCCUUCUGAAUUCUGAAGAAGUUUUAUCUUUACCAGUAAGGCCAAUAACCACUCUGCUGUUUUGCUGAGAUUCUGCUAUACAUACAGAUGACAAGGAGAUUUUCCAGAAAAAGAAGUCUUAAUAACAAAAAGCUAUUGCUGUAAUUAAAAAACAAACAAACAAACCUCCUAAUCUCAGUGAUCUAAGACUAGAAAGGUUAUUUCUUGAAAACCUUAAAGUCCAGUUGGAUCUUUGACAGUCAUACCCAUACCACUUCCAUCUAGUGGUUCCCCAUCUUCUAGGCCUCUUAGUUCUCCACUGGGUCCUCUGCAUCUCCCUCUUGGCAAGGGAAGAGAACAGCAUGAGCAUGAACGUCCCGUGAGAAGUUUAGGGAGGUCAAGAACAUCACUGUCACUCACCGUGAGAACCAGCCCAUGCCUCACUGCACUGCAGGGGGCUGGGAGAUGUCAGUUCAUCAUGUGCCCAGGAAGAAGUGGAGACCAUGAAACGGUGCCUGCCACAGUGCAGUAAACAGAUGUUUGUUGAAAGAAUGAAUGAAUGGCAUCAGUGCAUUAUAAUCAUCUGGCUGCUGGGGCAAAACAAGCUAAGGACAGGGAAUAGGCACCAGAAAGGAGUUGCAACUUUUGGAACAAUCUUCUCGGCUAUCCUCUGCCUCCAGGACC
Molecule: non-coding RNA, 1583 nt
Organism: Manis javanica (Malayan pangolin)
Lineage: Eukaryota; Metazoa; Chordata; Mammalia; Pholidota; Manidae
Source: RefSeq, a predicted model, not a curated record